UCUGGUGUGGUCUGGGGCUAUUCUGUAUGGGCUGAAGCCUUUUAAAGUUGUGCGGUGAUCCUCGGUGUAUUCUGGCUGUCUCAGCUGUGGCACACGCUGAGACAGGGAAACAUCAGAAAUGGUUUUUGCUUACCAAAUUUUCAUCUAACAAAUUCUCUGCUUUUUUGGACUGUAAAAAUAUUUGAUCUUGUGGAACAAGCAAAAGCUAAUGAGAAAUGAAACCCCAAAAGAAAUAUCAACCACUUCGCAAUGAAUAAUAACAAAAAUUUCUGAAUGCAGUUUUUUGCAGAUAUCAUUCUUCCUCUGAACCAACUGUGUUGAGAAAGACCUAAAAAUACUGAUAAGUGCAUGCAGUUGGAGAGAUCACAUACAGGGGCAUUAUUUCAAAGUGAGGUUCACCACUGACAUGGAUAUAUUACAUUGCAUGCAAGAGAUUUACGAG
Long non-coding RNA from Zonotrichia leucophrys gambelii, 442 nucleotides. RefSeq lists it as uncharacterized. Lineage: Eukaryota; Metazoa; Chordata; Aves; Passeriformes; Passerellidae. The record is from RefSeq and is a predicted model, not a curated record. The transcript has 3 exons.